Daucus carota subsp. sativus is the source of this 1308-nucleotide long non-coding RNA. RefSeq lists it as uncharacterized. Lineage: Eukaryota; Viridiplantae; Streptophyta; Magnoliopsida; Apiales; Apiaceae. The transcript has 5 exons. The record is from RefSeq and is a predicted model, not a curated record.
UCCAAAAUAAUUUCACCAACGAAAAUGCAUUCACCAUGCAAUCAUACAUGCAAUCCUGUGACUAAUCAACUAAAAUUUCAGGUGGUUGCUUUUCCAAUAUAAACUAGCAAUAUUAAUAUUUUUAUAUCUAAUAAAUACUAAAUAUUAAUAAUUAUUUAAAAAUAUAAAUUAAAAACCACAUUUCAUCUCAUUUGCUCAAAGCUUGGUUAAAUCAGCACAAAAUCUCUUACUUAUGAGACUCUGGGUGCCGAUCAGACGAAGAAUUUGAGGCGAGAGGACUUUAAAUCCUUUGCGAGCGAGCAGGAGGCGCCGGAAAGAAGAAGAUUAGAGGUGGCCAGCGUUUGUCGAUUGGGGCUUCAAUUAGGGCUCCAAAUCAUCACUCUUCAGUUGGCGCCGGAAACCAUGUGCAGUAUCUGUCAGGAUUGUGUCGUACUAGUACUAUGACUCGAGAGUUUUUAGUUCUGGGGCGGCACCUUUUGACAGAGUUGAGGGAUAAAAUAUAUUGCUUGACAGAUCAGCUCAUGGAAAGAGCAGGGCAGCAUGAAACUUCUGGAUAUUUCCUUAUUGCGAUUGUCUUCUGCAACGAUCUGAGAGAUACCACUGCAAUAGACUAUAGCAAACCUAUUCUGGACUGGCUUAAAGACUCAAAGAAGGGAGCACUUGAAAAAUGGGAAUAUAUUCUAUCUGGAAGAUUACAGCCAAGGCAGAAGGCUCUUGUAGAUGAUAAAAAGAAAGAAAUUUUGCCUGGGUUUAAAGCUGUCCGGAUGCAAGAGACGCAAUUUUGUGAGUUAAACUUCCAACUCGGGCUUGAUGCUCUCUAGGUUAUGAGGGUGCCUGCAAGCACACUAUUGUUAUCAGAGAUAUGAGGCUGAUCCAUCCCGAAGACAUACAAGAUCGAUUUGCCUAUCCAGUUGUAACAUUCCAAAUUAAACCAGGGAUCAGCAAGUGUUCUGUAUGCCAGAUAUUUGGAGCCAAAUUGGUGACAAUGGUCGACAAAUGGGCUGAAGAGAAUCCUUGUUAUUUCUGUGAUACUUGCUAUUAUAUGCUUCACUAUGCCAACGAGUCCUUGCUGUAUCUAGACUUCUCCGUAUAUGAUUGUCAUCAUGAUCAAAUUUGAACUCAAAAACAUUUUGCAUGCAAUUGUUACUUGUUAGGAAUAUAGAAAAAGAUUGUCCCACUUAUCAAUUAGUCGAGGGGAGCUAAUGUACAUAAGAAAAAUAAAUUUUGUCUGUAUAGGGAUUCGUUAGUGUAAUCAAACAAAAAGCAUUUAUCGGCAACUGAAUGUAGGGGCCUGUUCGGGUGCUUUUU